GGGGUGCGCAAUAGACUUACCUCCACGUGGUGCACCCUGGACAACGUAUGCACAUACGGCAAAAAAGUCCAU
RNAcentral lists this ribozyme (72 nucleotides) under Rodentolepis nana. Its description in RNAcentral is "Hymenolepis nana HDV ribozyme from F. prausnitzii". It matches the Rfam family "HDV ribozyme from F. prausnitzii". The record is from Rfam by way of RNAcentral. Lineage: Eukaryota; Metazoa; Platyhelminthes; Cestoda; Cyclophyllidea; Hymenolepididae.